Molecule: long non-coding RNA, 241 nt
Filed under: Homo sapiens (human)
Lineage: Eukaryota; Metazoa; Chordata; Mammalia; Primates; Hominidae
Description: long non-coding RNA NONHSAT148794
Source: RNAcentral
UGUUUAGAAGCCAGAAAGUAGCAAAUGAGAGACUACUAAGGAGUGAAAAGGUAUGUCAAACAGCUGAUACUCAGGGGCAUGAACAUCAGACCACCAGGAGAUCAUUUAAUGCUAAGUCUAAAAAAUGUGGCUUAAUCAAAGAAAAGAAAGCCCCAAUAAGUUUUAAAACCAGAGCUGAGGCCCUCCAUAUGUGUGUGGAGCACUCUGAGCACACACAGUACCCCUGCAUGGUUCAAGGAUG